RNAcentral lists this ribosomal RNA (324 nucleotides) under uncultured eukaryote. Its description in RNAcentral is "partial 18S ribosomal RNA". It matches the Rfam family "Eukaryotic small subunit ribosomal RNA", at positions 1470 to 1796 of the family's 1831-position model. The record is from RNAcentral.
CCCUUAGAUGUCCUGGGCUGCACGCGCGCUACACUGAUGUGUCCAGUAAGCACCUAACCUCUUCCGAAAGGAACGGGUAACCUUUGCAAAGCACAUCGUGAUGGGGAUAGAUUAUUGCAAUUAUUAGUCUUGAACGAGGAAUUCCUAGUAAGCACAAGUCAUCAGCUUGUGUUGAUUACGUCCCUGCCCUUUGUACACACCGCCCGUCGCUCCUACCGAUUGAAUGUUCCGGUGAGCUCUUCGGACUGCGCGGUCUGCAGUUUCUGCGUUCCGUGCGGAAAGUUGCGCAAACCUUAAUAUUUAGAGGAAGGAGAAGUCGUAACA